RNAcentral lists this ribosomal RNA (698 nucleotides) under Dinophysis caudata. RNAcentral describes it as "LSU rRNA". It matches the Rfam family "Eukaryotic large subunit ribosomal RNA", at positions 38 to 655 of the family's 3401-position model. Lineage: Eukaryota; Dinophyceae; Dinophysales; Dinophysaceae. The record is from RNAcentral.
ACAUAUAAGUAGCGGAGGACAAGAAACUAAACAGGAUCCCCAUAGUAAUGGCGAAUGAACCGGGAUAAACUCAGCAUGGAAAUUGGGGCCUUUGGCUUUGACUUGUAAUCUGGUGAGGCAUUGCCAACAGAGGCGCAUAUGUAAGUCUCUUGGAAAAGAGCAUCAACGAAGGUGAGAGUCCUGAUUGUCAUGUGCAGCCCCCCUGUGCACGGUGUGCCUUCUAAGAGUCACGUUCCUUGGGAUUGGAGCGCAAAUUGGGUGGUAACUUUCAUCUGAAGUUAAACAAGGGUUUGGGACCGAUAGGAAACAAGUACCAUGAGGGAAAGGUGAAAAGGACUUUGGAAAGAGAGUUAAAAGUGCCUGAAAUUGCUGAAGGGGAAGCGAAUGGAACCAGUAGUGCUGGGUGAGAUUGUCACAUGCUACAAGGAUUGGUUGCUGCCACAACGCAAGUGUGAUGGCAAUUUGUGAAUUGCUAGUGUGUGGUGUGUCUUACCUAGUGGGUCAUUGUGGGUUUAUGCAUUAAGAUAAGUCAAAGCAAGCGGGAGCAAGUUUACGAGUUUGUGAAUGUGUGUUGUUAUGCUUGUGCGUAAGCUUUAAGGUUUGUCUGGCUGCAGGGCUGUCCAUCCUCGAGCUGAGGGUUGCGAUGAGCAUAACCUUCUGCGCAGAUCUUGACGAAAUGGUUUCAUUCGACCCGUCUA